This is a non-coding RNA of Chaetomidium leptoderma, 81 nucleotides long. Lineage: Eukaryota; Fungi; Ascomycota; Sordariomycetes; Sordariales; Chaetomiaceae. The record is from the annotation of a GenBank genome assembly.
ACCUCUCUGGUGUAUCGGUUAACAUAGCGGAUUCUCAUUGCAAGCAUUCCGUUGCGCGGGGUUCGACUCCCCGGAGGGGUA